This 1086-nucleotide unclassified non-coding RNA is filed under the name Leishmania donovani. Its description in RNAcentral is "gene:unknown". The record is from RNAcentral. Lineage: Eukaryota; Euglenozoa; Kinetoplastea; Trypanosomatida; Trypanosomatidae.
GCGUUGGAAAACGAAGAACAACAGCGAAACAGGUGGUCGCCGCCAGAGGCAACCCAUAAACAGCAAGAAUAGCAAUGGCUCUAUCAACACCGCAGGAGUGCGAGCUGGAAGAGGAGGCAUUUGUGGAGCGUGUUGCAAGAGCGACAGCGAGAGCUGCAGGAGGAUGGUAUUAUGCACACUCCUCAUGUGCCCCAGUAUGUGAUCGUGUGCGCUCAUUCCUGCUCUUUCACGUAACCCCCUCAAGCAAAAAGGCGACAGUAACUCGUCUUCGCCCUUCCCAUCUCUUUUCGCUCUACCUAUCCACUGCGUGCGUGUGCCUAGGUGUGACCUCCCUCUCUCCCCUCCUUGCUGACUUGCCCGUAUUUUCCUUCUGCGUUUCUCUGUUGUCUUUAAGUGCGAGUUGACCGUGGCGUUGUUUUUCUUUGCCCUUUUUCCUUUGCUCCGUCGGAUGAGGCGGGGGUCGUGUAGCCGAUUUCCCGCCUGCUUUCUCAGCGUGUCGCCACUCUUUUUUUUUCUCCUUUUUUCAUGUGCCUGUGUGUUUCGACGUUUCCGCCCAUUCAUUUCGUCCACCAUGUUUCUUUGACUUGUUUGCUCUUCCAAAUCCCCUUCAUGCUCACUCGCGCCACACUUCUGCGCAUCUUUUCCACAUAUGAGGCGGCGCGCGCCUACCGAAACAACAAAAAGGAAUAGCAGCACGUGGCAUGAUGUUAAACUUGUCAGCCCGUUCCAGCACAAGCGUACUUCGCCGUCUCACGCGCACACACGCGUAUGCAUGUAUACCUGUGCACUCUAUAGCUCCAUGAUGGAUGUGGGCACCUGGACAUGCGCUGCGUGUCAUUUCCCCUAUUACUUCAGCCCGAAUCGACCAAUGACUCUUUUUGAAAAUUGUUUUAUUGUGCCAAGAGCUCAGAUCUUUGGACAUGUGCAUCCGUGUGCAUCUCUGUGCGUGCGUGUGUGUGCUCUGCGAACGCCGUAACACUCGCAAAGACAUUAUUACUUCUUUUUUUUCUCGCGCUGUUUUCCUUGCUGUUUUUGCUUGCCAUUCUUGUGCUUUUCGGUCUCUGUCGAACUUUCGGAUGAUGCCAG